UCCUCUACCACACACACACUAAGAUGAGAUAUGCUCUGUUUUUGGAAACAAGUCAUUUGCACUUUGAUUACAUGUGUAUGGUACUAUGCUGCAGUAGAAAGGAAAAAUCUGGAACUUGCAUGCUUUGCGGGUGAUUGUAAGAAUGUGUAUGUGUGUGUUUGUUUGUUUUUUGCUACGGUGACCUAAUAGUACUGCCAACCAGUAUCACUUCUACAUGUCUGCGCGUUCCGUGGACAUAAAGCACUGUGUGAGCUGCUGAUAAAAAAUGGUGUCGACGUUAAUGUCCAAGAUGAGUAUGGUAGGACACCAUUCCACUUUGCAGCAUACAGAGGUCAUGUGUCCGUACUAGAAUGUCUGUUGAAUGCUGGACAUCCAUUGGAAGCGAAAGAUUCGGAUGGUGACACACCAUUACAUGAUGCAGCAUAUUAUGGUCAUGUUUCUGUAGUAGAAUGUCUUCUCACUUCUGGACAUUCGUUGGAACCAAAGAAUAAUCGUGGUUGCACACCAUUACACAGGGCAGCAUCGGUUGGUCAUGUUUCCGUAGCAGAAUAUCUACUUAAUUCUGGACAUUCCUUGGAGCCAAAGAACAAUCUGGGCGGACUUUGUGCUGAAUGACUGAACUGACGUUUGAGGCUACCCGCAUGCUCGUAAGCCACCCGGACUGGUAACUUGUGCUUCCGGAUACCUUUGCUGACGCUGUGAUGCACCCCGUCCGACUUAUAUGGCAGCUUCAAAAAGGCACAACACGGAUUACCUCGGCAGCGACGCUUGGGUUUCUUUGCUGCUGCUCUUGCAUUAGUGAUGAGGCUGUCUGGAUAGUGUUUGUGUUGAAGUUGGUCUUGAAUUUUCUGUUCACUUUCUUUACACAUGGUGUCAUUGGAAGACAGACGUUGUGCUCUUAAGAAUUGAGACUAUGCAACUGCAAGUUUGAUGUGAUGAGGCACAGCAGAUGCGUAGUCUAUCAACAAUCCACUAUUGCAUGGCUUUUGGAAGAGCUUGUCGGUCAUCUGGCCCGACUGUUGUAUGGCAAUUGUCAUGUCCAUGUAUCAAUCCAGCCUUUGCUACUGCUGAGCUCGUAGGUGAACUUGAGUCGGUCGUGUCCUGCAUUGAAGGGCUGUAUUAGCUCCAAGAGGCGUUUCUCACCGUGGGUCCAGAGAAUGAUCGCAUCAUCAAUGUACCGUGUGUACAGUACAGGCAGAACCGGUGAAUCGGCAAGAAGGGGCGUUUCCAGAGAGUGCUCGGGUACAGGCCCACGACAUCCAAAUUGGCAAGAAUUGUCCCCUCUGGAGCUUUGAGAUCUGGGAAUAUAGUGCAGAUGUCAUCAAGGGCUUCAUUCGUAUUAGGGAGGUGCGCUGGGGCAAAGUCUAGCAACUGGUGUAGAAUGCGUUCCAGUAUGAUUGAUAUGCCCGUGACAGGACUAUCACAUGCCGACACGACGGAUCGUAGGGGUAGGUUCUGCUUAUGAUCCUUUGGGAGACCAUAGAACUCGAGGAAUCUUGUAUUAUUGGGGAGAAUCGACUUCAGCAGCUUGGAAUCCAUGUUGUUGCAUUUGUCCCCAAGGACAGCUUUCACCCGAGACUCGAACUCGGUUAUUGUUAUGUCA
Molecule: long non-coding RNA, 1603 nt
Organism: Sycon ciliatum
Lineage: Eukaryota; Metazoa; Porifera; Calcarea; Leucosolenida; Sycettidae
Exons: 5
Source: RefSeq, a predicted model, not a curated record